This is a long non-coding RNA of Centruroides sculpturatus (bark scorpion), 464 nucleotides long. RefSeq lists it as uncharacterized. The record is from RefSeq and is a predicted model, not a curated record. The transcript has 3 exons. NCBI's taxonomy places the organism in Eukaryota, Metazoa, Arthropoda, Arachnida, Scorpiones, Buthidae.
AUUUAUGAAAAUGUAAUAAUAUUGUUCCAGAUAUACGACAAUUUCAUCUCUGUCGAAAAAUAUUUCUCUGCUCCUCUGACCUUAACAUACAAGUUAAAGAUCGUUUGCUUUAUGAAGAUAUUUGGAGGAUUGCCCAUUGGAAUAUCCAUUGGAGGAUUUUUCAUCGUGAAAAGGAACUUCUUGAUUCGGGCAGCCAAUGGUAUUUAUUCGGUCUUCUCGACUUUAGUUGAAGUAACAGGAGUACUGGACAAAAAUAGAUGCACUUCAAAACUGUAUGCAUCUACACGUAGCAACGACACAAUUCUGUAGAAAGAUUUAGUUAUGUUUCAUUGCAGAUUGGAUCAAAUAUAUACGAAGUAUAUUCGUGCACCCAAUGUAAACAAAACAAAUUUUAUUUUUUGUAACCACCGAAAAGGAGUUUAUAAACGAAUAAACAAGUUUGUUAUGCCUUUUUUUUAUUUUUA